CCUACGGGUGGCAGCAGUGGGGAAUAUUGGUCAAUGGACGAGAGUCUGAACCAGCCAAGUAGCGUGAAGGAUGACUGCCCUAUGGGUUGUAAACUUCUUUUAUAUGGGAAUAAAACGUUCCACGUGUGGGAUUUUGUAUGUACCAUAUGAAUAAGGAUCGGCUAACUCCGUGCCAGCAGCCGCGGUAAUACGGAGGAUCCGAGCGUUAUCCGGAUUUAUUGGGUUUAAAGGGAGCGUAGGUGGAUUGUUAAGUCAGUUGUGAAAGUUUGCGGCUCAACCGUAAAAUUGCAGUUGAAACUGGCAGUCUUGAGUACAGUAGAGGUGGGCGGAAUUCGUGGUGUAGCGGUGAAAUGCUUAGAUAUCACGAAGAACUCCGAUUGCGAAGGCAGUUCACUGGACUGCAACUGACACUGAGGCUCGAAAGUGUGGGUAUCAAACAGGAUUAGAUACCCCUGUAGUC
This 460-nucleotide ribosomal RNA is filed under the name uncultured bacterium. RNAcentral's name for it is "partial 16S ribosomal RNA". It matches the Rfam family "Bacterial small subunit ribosomal RNA", at positions 338 to 795 of the family's 1533-position model. The record is from RNAcentral.